Benincasa hispida (wax gourd) is the source of this 1626-nucleotide long non-coding RNA. RefSeq lists it as uncharacterized. The record is from RefSeq and is a predicted model, not a curated record. NCBI's taxonomy places the organism in Eukaryota, Viridiplantae, Streptophyta, Magnoliopsida, Cucurbitales, Cucurbitaceae.
UUUGGAAAAAAAAAAUGGAAACGGAGGAGGAAAAGGAAAUAUAUGUGUAUAUAUUAAGUUAAGUUAGGGUUUUGAAAGUUAUUAUUUAUAUAAGUUGUUUUUUUAAAAAAAGCAAAAGAAAAAGGAAAAUUAAUUCCUUCUUUCUUGUGUGCAGAACCCCCACCCCCCAGAUCUCUCUCUCCCACCGAAAGUCUGAGCCUCGCCACCGCCCGAGUUCCAGCGCUGCCGUCUCAGCCUCGCUAGUGACCGGUCACGCAACGCCAUUACCGUCUAGAUUUGCUUGUCGCACCAGCCGCCGUCGCACGCUCAAUUGUCGUGGGUCGCUGCCGCUUAUACUCCAGAUCUGCUCGUGCACCCCAGGACAGUCGAGCUCUACCGUCCAACCGCCACACGUCCAGCUAGGUGUUUAUCAUCUACCGGCAGCGGCGUAGCAGACGACGUUUCUAAAGGGUGAAGGUUGAGAAUAACAUUACGGCGGCGUAACAUAAGUCUGCGUGAUUCUCACAUUUGAGAAUAGCACCAAGCUGCUUCUAAAAAGUGAAGGUUGUUUAAAUAACACUUACUCUGUGUGAUUGUUUAAAUUUUCUGUAAGACUUAAAGGGUGAAGGAACCCAACCGGUUUGAUUUUUUAUAACUAUCAGACCGACCGAACCGAUCAGGUCAGUAUCAGUUAUCGGUUUAAGUAGACCGACCAAAUGGAGUUUCCAAUUUACGAAUGAGCUUCGAGUCUCAGCAUCAUUCUCUCUCUUCUAGGUUCUCACUGUCUCGCAUUUGGCGUCCCACUCAGCCGUCGUCGACUACUCAGCCACCGUCGCCAUCGACUCCUUGAACUACAGUUUUUGUUGGGUUUGCUCGUUCUUAAAUUACAAUGGUUAUGUUUGCUGUCUAAAAUUUGGAAUCAACACCCUCCAGGAAGAUUGGCAAUGAGAUCUCAAUCCAUGCGAAAAGGAUACCUGGACAAUAACUAUCUAAUUAUUUUGCUAAAGGAAGACGGCUGCACAAGGAUUCAUCCUAUUCUAAUAGGAUUCUCUAUAAGUAGGCUUUGAAGGGAAGAUAAGAUCUUGGAAUGACAACAAAUGUCUAUUAUCCAGUAGGUCAAUAGUAGUCUAAUUCAAAAUACCUGUCAAAAGUAAAUAUCUCAUUAGUAAUUGACAUCAGUAAUUGACAUGUAUUCCGACAGUAUCGAAAAAGGGGGAAAACAAAAGUUUAGAAUACCCCAUUUCAACUUUGUUGGUUCUUCAACAACCCAAUACCAUCGACCAAAAGCAUGGAGAUAAUUUGAUACAAAAUAGAACAAUAUGCAAACAGAACACAAUUUGUCAACAACUUGGAUUAUAAUUCAUCAACAACAUAAUUGGACAGCCAGUAUUCUCAAAGGCUUAGGUCAAGUACAAACAUAGACUCAAAAAAAAAAACACACACCUCAAUAUUAUUACAUCAACACAAAACCUAUUAGCAAAAAGUGAAAUCCAUCUCCAAAGCUGAGCUCAGUCAAAAGUUCUCAUAAUCACAAGACUCCCCACAAAAGUUUCGCCGUGUAACAUCUACCUAAUGCCAAAAGGGACAAGCUCCACUUUUACAGCAUAACCUCUACAAAUGGGCAAGCACAUAAUGCAGAAAGAGAAA